CAGUAGCCACGGUAAUACGUAGGGUGCGAGCGUUAAUCGGAAUUACUGGGCGUAAAGCGUGCGCAGGCGGUUCGUUAAGACAGAUGUGAAAUCCCCGGGCUUAACCUGGGAACUGCAUUUGUGACUGACGGGCUAGAGUAUGGCAGAGGGGGGUAGAAUUCCACGUGUAGCAGUGAAAUGCGUAGAGAUGUGGAGGAAUACCGAUGGCGAAGGCAGCCCCCUGGGCCAAUACUGACGCUCAUGCACGAAAGCGUGGGGAGCAAACAGGAUUAGAUACCCGCGUAGUCCCUGUCUCUUAUAA
This 301-nucleotide ribosomal RNA is filed under the name uncultured bacterium. Its description in RNAcentral is "partial 16S ribosomal RNA". It matches the Rfam family "Bacterial small subunit ribosomal RNA", at positions 509 to 809 of the family's 1533-position model. The record is from RNAcentral.